AGCGAACGCUGGCGGCAGGCCUAACACAUGCAAGUCGAACGGACCCUUCGGGGUUAGUGGCGGACGGGUGAGUAACACGUGGGAACGUGCCUUUAGGUUCGGAAUAGCUCCUGGAAACGGGUGGUAAUGCCGAAUGUGCCCUUCGGGGGAAAGAUUUAUCGCCUUUAGAGCGGCCCGCGUCUGAUUAGCUAGUUGGUGAGGUAACGGCUCACCAAGGCGACGAUCAGUAGCUGGUCUGAGAGGAUGACCAGCCACACUGGGACUGAGACACGGCCCA
This 277-nucleotide ribosomal RNA is filed under the name uncultured bacterium. RNAcentral describes it as "partial 16S ribosomal RNA". It matches the Rfam family "Bacterial small subunit ribosomal RNA", at positions 29 to 333 of the family's 1533-position model. The record is from RNAcentral.